UACGUAGGGUGCGAGCGUUAAUCGGAAUUACUGGGCGUAAAGCGUGCGCAGGCGGUUUUGUAAGCCAGGUGUGAAAUCCCCGGGCUCAACCUGGGAAUGGCAUUUGGGACUGCAAGGCUGGAGUGCGGCAGAGGAGACUGGAAUUCCUGGUGUAGCAGUGAAAUGCGUAGAUAUCAGGAGGAAUACCGAUGGCGAAGGCAGGUCUCUGGGCUAGCACUGACGCUCAGGCACGAAAGCGUGGGGAGCAAACAGG
This 253-nucleotide ribosomal RNA is filed under the name uncultured bacterium. Its description in RNAcentral is "partial 16S ribosomal RNA". It matches the Rfam family "Bacterial small subunit ribosomal RNA", at positions 524 to 776 of the family's 1533-position model. The record is from RNAcentral.